This 69-nucleotide transfer RNA is filed under the name Kathetostoma albigutta. RNAcentral describes it as "tRNA-Arg". It matches the Rfam family "tRNA". From Rfam's summary of the family: Transfer RNA (tRNA) molecules are approximately 80 nucleotides in length. Their secondary structure includes four short double-helical elements and three loops (D, anti-codon, and T loops). Further hydrogen bonds mediate the characteristic L-shaped molecular structure. tRNAs have two regions of fundamental functional importance: the anti-codon, which is responsible for specific mRNA codon recognition, and the 3' end, to which the tRNAs corresponding amino acid is attached (by aminoacyl-tRNA synthetases). tRNAs cope with the degeneracy of the genetic code in two manners: having more than one tRNA (with a specific anti-codon) for a particular amino acid; and 'wobble' base-pairing, i.e. permitting non-standard base-pairing at the 3rd anti-codon position. The record is from RNAcentral. Lineage: Eukaryota; Metazoa; Chordata; Actinopteri; Uranoscopiformes; Uranoscopidae.
AGGCAAUUAGUUUAAAGAAAACAUUUGAUUUCGGCUCAAAAACUUGCAGUUAGACCCCGUAGUUGCCUA